Molecule: RNA transcript, 5222 nt
Organism: Eriocheir sinensis (Chinese mitten crab)
Lineage: Eukaryota; Metazoa; Arthropoda; Malacostraca; Decapoda; Varunidae
Gene name: hematopoietically-expressed homeobox protein Hhex-like
Exons: 3
Source: RefSeq, a predicted model, not a curated record
CAGCUCGCCGCCCCCCGUGGCGCGGUGCCGGCCACAUGGGCGGGGUGGGCACUGGCCAGGCACCGGAGCAGUGGAUGCCAUGCAUUCUGGAGUCACGAGACGCAGCGACUACACCAUGCGCCUCAGCCUCCUGCUGGACACAGGACCCGCCCUGCCGGACACCCGCAGACACUCUUCCCUGCCGUACCCUGCCCACCCUGCCGCCGGGGGGAGCCCUCUGUCGCCUACCCUACAGGGUUAACACACCUAACCUGCCACCACAUCUCUGCCGCUGCCCUUCCUGGACAUUAGUCUUCCCUGCCGCCUGUCACCUUGCGCUCACCACCCCUACAACCCUCCCUCGCUGCCCACACCCUGCCACUCGAGUGUCCUCCCUUGCCGCCCCCCUUCCACGCCACCCACAUCCUGCUGCCUGCGGGUUCCUUCCUUCCCUCCUUAGACGCCUUUUUCAGCGUCCUCGCCUCACCAUGUUCACGAUAGACAACAUCCUCGUGAGACCCGCCAAGAGGACAGUCCACCCUCCUGUAGUAUCAUCACCACCACCCUCAGAAACACACCUCCAGUCAGUCCUCUCCUCUCCCCACACCUUUUACACAAUCCCCGUUCAGCAGUGCAGGAGUCCCACCACCACCACCUCCACCAUCACCCUCCCGAGUCCGACCACCUCCACCUGUAAACUCUGGCAAAAUAAUACGAGACUAGAUUCCUCUCCUUAUUCUCUUCCCUACACCGCCCCGCACUCUGCCUCCAAUCCCUCCUUCGCGUCCCUCUACCCCUCUGCAUCCCCGCCCGUUGUCCUGUCUUCCCCUGCACCCUCAAUUUUCUCUCAGCCAAGUCCGCUUCCGUUGUACUGGGACAGCUCAGAGGCAUGUUUAGAAGCCUACAGAUCUACUCACGACUAUGGGAAAGCCUCGGAAAUAUCUCCUGAGUGGAUAAUCUUUACUUCUAACCCUGACGAGCAAAUCCUUGAGCCUGAGUGGAUACGAGGUCUACCUGAUGAUAAUGCCAAUACUCAUAAUACUAACAGGGUGCCUCAUGUCAAAAUCCCUGAGGCAGACUACGAGUGGUUACGCUUUGCUUCUACCCCUGAAACUCACGCCCUUACACCAAGAUCUGAGUGGCUACGAGGUCUUGCUAACACUGACAAGCUGCCCCCUGCGUGCCCUGGUAUGUCCCGUCCUCACAGUGCUCACAGGUCAAAGAUACGUGGCACUCAAGGCUGUGGUAUUGUUCCAGAACCCAUAACGCGGUGCACAAGACUUCCCAGAUUCUCCAGCGUAAGCGGUGACCUAGAGCCUGUUGUCCCAGUGUCUAUAGAUAACCACUGCGUCCUCUACCACCGUUCUGCCUACCAGAGGGAACACGCAUCAACUCCCUACUGCCACGGUCAACAGCUGAUGCUUCGAAGGGACGGCACUUUCCUGCAGUCUAACGCCGCCUCUGCCUGCCCGUCGCCUCUCCCUUCUCUGCACCCCGCCCACCCUUACCAUCCAUUGAGGUCACAGAUGAGGACGUCGCUGGCUGUCCCUUCUACAGUAUCUUCACAUGGUACAUUCCUGCAGCCUCCCGCCCAUAAUAUACAGCCUAGUGCCGCCUCAGCCACCCCGUCGCCUAUCCCACGCCCUGAAUACGCCCGAGACUUUCAACCCACCUAGCCACAGCAUCCUUCAGGGUCACAUAUAAGGGUGUCGAUGCCUCCGCUUCCUUCAAUCUCAUGCAGUGCCUUCCUUCAGCAUCCUACCCUCGCCAGACCUCAGAGCCCCUCCCUAGACACUCACACAACUCCUCAGUCACUCUACCCUACCCUGGACCUACUGCAGGGGCCCCAGAAGCCAGGCUAUCAUCCAGCUAACUCAUCACGUCUCUCAUCUAUCCACACUGCACUAUUCAACCCUCGCAGCGCCACCCUCCCGCCUAUUCACCCUGCCCAGUUGCACCAUCCCCAGGGGCUCUACCAUCACCCAGUCACCAGGUUCAAGACUACAGAGGAGGUGGGGUUCUUCAGGGCUUCGAGGUUACCCGGAGAGCUGCCUGCCUACCCCGUUACCUGCCCGCCCGGCCACCCCCACACGGCGUGGCUGUCAACAGGUGUGGUGGUGGCGGUGGGCUCCGGACGCACACGGCGGUGCGGUGGUCAGGUGCAGUUCACGGCGCAGCAGACCCGCCAGCUGGAGACGUGGUUCUCGCAGUACAAGUACAUCACGGCGCCCCAGAGGAAGACCAUCGCCAGGGAACUGAGCCUGCACGAGAAGCAGGUGAUGACGUGGUACCAGAACAAGCAAGCCAAGUCAAGGAAUGCGUGCCCGGCAGUGCCCCCUUCAACACCUCAAGACUUCAACACCACUCCGCCAUCAUCACCACCACCAUAAUCAACACCAAUACGUGGCUCCUAGUGACUCUUCCUGAGUCUCAGUUCAACACCACCACCACCACCGUCACCAUAUCCAACAUCAACACCAAAAUCAACAUCACACCGCAAAAGGAAGACUAGAGAUGGAAAUGCUUGCGGGGAUCUUGUAAAAUGACCUCCUCCUCCUCCUCCUCCUGUUCCCAAGGUUCACCAAAGUUAGUAAGACAAAUCUACAAGUCACGUGAUUCUUUACUCAGUUUUGUGUUAGCGUUACGUUCUACAGACGGACGAAAGAUGGACUCACACAUAACAAUGACCUUAACUACUACUACUACUACCCUCCUCCUCCUUCUCCUCCUCUCACUUCCUGCAGGUGCCCACUACAGCUGGUUAGUCUACGCUCUAGGCUACGCUCCCGUCACUACGCCCAGGGUUGCCAGAUUUGGUCAUGAACAGUCUGUUUGGAGAUGAAUCAGCCCGGCCCUGAACUGACUGCACUGCUGACUGACUGGAUAGCGGCGCAGCCUUGAAAUUAACAACAUUCUGCUAAUUCUCAGGCAAAAGAUUUAUAUCCCCUUAUACUAUGUAAUGCUGGUGAGGAAUUAAUAAAUAAAUAUAUAAAUAAAUAAAUAGAUAAUCUUUCUUUAAGAAAUAAGAAGGUAAGGAGAGUUGAGGGAACUUGCUAACGCACCGAGGCUCAGAUCUGACAACCCUGGCCGCACCACGCCGCCAGGCCACACCUGGCUGUGCGCGGGGCGCGUCGCUCCCCACCUGGCGGUCCUCGCGUCGUCAGUUGUAGAGUGUCGUGGCGUCUUCCAGGCAGGAGGCUCCCUCGCCGCCCAGGCUGUACUCUGAGGGGUCGUUGUCGCUGCCAUUGUGUGAGGAGGCCGGAGACGCGGCCGUCACGUCCACGUCCAGGGAGCUCACCGCCCCGCCAUCCUCGCAGCCGCCCUGCAACAAGCACUGCGUCAGGCCGCUGCUCAACAAGGGACACACUCAUACAGUAUAAUCAUAUAGAGGCAGCAGUGCGGGAGUCAUGAGCUGCUAGGCAAUGACCGCUACACAUGUACGCGGGGUCCUGUCAGGGCCGCACCACACUGAACUUUUACCAUUAAAUUUUAACUAAUAUAUGGGUAUAAAGUGCUGCAGGAUUAUUUUCCAAAGAUAAACGCUGCACCCCUAGCGUGGGACCCCCGAGGUGGCGGCGCAUGAAUGGACCUAAUAAUUAUGAUACGUCCCAUAUGCGUUGAUAAGACUGAAACAAGGGCGAGAUAGGAAGAAUUCAGUGCCAGAUUAGCUACGCCAGGUCUCGGAACCUACUGACAGCGAAAGGGUAGUACAACACUAUAAUCACUACGUCAGCGCUGGGCUCAGGGAAUACGCGUGACCAAGGACCACAUUCUUAAACCUUUCAUCGCCCAAGCACAUACAUUUAACAAGGCUUUCGUAGGAUUUGUGGGCAUAUCCAUGGAUAGCUGAAUGACCCUGGUGGUAAUCUGACAUAGUUUCUGCACCAUGAACGUAAAGAAACACACCUGGAGACGCGUUUAACUUAUUUUUUGGCCUUUAGAAAUUAUCGAUAUAAGAGAAGGAAGCACACACUCGCACAGGCCAGCCAAUAGCGUUUGCCAGCUUACCGUACGCUCCUUCCUGUACUGGCGCCGUCAUCUCAGGCUGUUAAACAAAGCCUCCUGCCUUUUUACACUUAGCCUCCCUAUAUGUUAUCACUCCAUGUCUAAAUACCUAUCCUAAACACUGAAUCGAAGCCCAUAUAAAGCCUUUACAUGAGCUUUCCGCUGACUGACACCCAAUAAGCGCUACCACGCAACAAAGGAACGUAAUCUGGUAGAGAAUGUGCGGUGGUACUACUUGGGUUAUACGUAGCAAUACAGCCAUGAGUGUAAGGUCCAUAUCAAACGUACCGGUCACCCAUUAUGACUAUUUAACCGGGUUCUCAUGGGUGAUUAUCCCGUUCAAGAUGCAUAAGCCGUGUACAACUAUCACUGUGAUCACAAGACAGUCAAUGCGAAUUUCAGGAACUACUACGAGGGGCUUUUCAAACAGGAGAACUGAGGCGCAGAUAUGUUUAACAAUACGGGUGAAAGAGUCGUGGCUUGAGCUACUCUUUACAGCCGCGGGGAGAGAUUACAGUAUCGCUGCAUAAAGUGUUCGCAGCUGUCCUUCAGAGCGGCUUAUGAAACGGCCUUGGCGAGAGCUUAAGCCUGUCUUGCAGAUGUCAUGAAAACCUGCACCCGAUGUUCUUAAAUGUCUCUACCCCUCAGUUCGCCUGUUUGAAGACUCUCGUAGAAGUUGCUCAUCCUCGGGUUUGAGUAUGAGGUGUGUUUCAGUUUCAUUCCUACAAGCAAAGAAGAUAUAAAAUAAGAGAAAUGGAAGGGAAAAAAACGGGAGAGAGGAAGACACUGUGAACAUCAAACUAAAUAAGCAAGUAAAAAUAAAUUAAUAGGCUAAAGAGGACGUGUUUCAGUUUCCUUCCCACACCAAACACUCUUUAAUAUGUGUUUCGUAAGAGUACAGGAUGUGUUUCAGUUUCCUUCCCACACCAAAACACUCUUUAAUAUGUGUUUCGUAAGAGUACAGGAUGUGUUUCAGUUUCCUUCCCACACCAAAACACUCUUUAAUAUGUGUUUCGUAAGAGUACAGGAUGUGUUUCAGUUUCCUUCCCACACCAAAACACUCUUUAAUAUGUGUUUCGUAAGAGUACAGGAUAUGUUUCAGUUUCCUUCCCACACCAAACACUCUUUAAUAUGUGUUUCGUAAGAGUACAGGAUGUGUUUCAGUUUCCUUCCCAUACCAAACACUCUUUAAUAUGUGUUUCGUAAGAGUACAGGAUGUGUUUCAGUUUCCUUCCCAC